GGAUGUGAGGGUGAUCUGGCUGCGACAUCUGUCAGCCCAUUGAUCUCCAGGGUUGAUUAGGCUGAUCUGGCUGGCUUGGCGGGUGUCCCCUUCCUCCCUCACCACUCCAUGUGCUUCCUUCCCGAAUCUGCAUGCUGGAGUCAAAGAGGCUGGACGGCCUUCCCCUAAUAGAGAUGGACUGGUCUUCAAUGGAGGGUAUGCGAGUAGAUGCAUUCUGCUAGAGCCGCCAAACAAGCUCUCUGUUGUCUUAUUUGUAUUCUAUUGCCACAUUUUUUAUUAUUAGUGAUUUAAUAAUGACCAACAUGAUU
This is a non-coding RNA of Erinaceus europaeus (western European hedgehog), 308 nucleotides long. The record is from Rfam. NCBI's taxonomy places the organism in Eukaryota, Metazoa, Chordata, Mammalia, Eulipotyphla, Erinaceidae.